RNAcentral lists this transfer RNA (66 nucleotides) under Tuxedo nicholi. Its description in RNAcentral is "tRNA-Trp". The record is from RNAcentral. Lineage: Eukaryota; Metazoa; Arthropoda; Insecta; Hemiptera; Miridae.
AAAGCUUUAAGUUAAGUAAACUAAUAACCUUCAAAGUUAUAAAUAUAAAACAAUUUAUAAGCUUUA